UAUCGGUGCUGUCUGAGAUUGUCAUUUUCGGUUGUCAGUUGCGGUUGUCAGUUAGAGCGCAAAAUUCUAAUUUUUCUCUGAAAUCACAAUAAAAUGUGUAGCUUGGUUCCCUCUACCUCAACAUCGAACAAGUGGAAUCCCCUCUGCCGGCAGCUAUAAAUUACGUAACGCUCCUAUGAGAGAGAGGGGGUACCAUCUAGUGUUUUGAAUUUAAAAUAAGGAAGGGGGGAGAUAAGAUCAGCAUUACGCAACGAAAAAGAUGAGAAAAAAUAGAAAGAAUCUUUUGUGAGGCUGUUGAACAAUAAUAAUAAUAAAUUAAGAAAUUCAUAUGAGAAAUUGUUCACUCAAGUAAGAACAAACAAUCACUUUUUUUUAAUUUAUUUUGUUCUUAUUCAAUAGCUCGAUUUCCACCAAGGACACCAGAAUAGUAACUAUCUUAAAAAUAAUAACAUUUUAUCUGAGGCAAAGUUUAAGCUUGGAGUCAAGCGUGUUGGUAAAAUAUAUGGAUUUAGCGUUACCGGUUAUAAUUCACUGCUCACUAUAGAAAUAGUUCAGGAGAGUUUGGGUGAAAUCUUUGCCGUUGGAACGUUUUUGACAAUAUUCUAGGGAUAGGUGAUUAGCAAAGGGAUGGUGAAUUUAUCAGGAACAGUAUUUUUCUUACAACUUGAUGUUAAAAAUCAAUAAAAAUGUUCUUACCAAUCAUGACGAGCACGAAUCCUGAUAGAAAA
This is a long non-coding RNA of Wyeomyia smithii (pitcher-plant mosquito), 728 nucleotides long. RefSeq lists it as uncharacterized. The record is from RefSeq and is a predicted model, not a curated record. NCBI's taxonomy places the organism in Eukaryota, Metazoa, Arthropoda, Insecta, Diptera, Culicidae. The transcript has 2 exons.